This 460-nucleotide ribosomal RNA is filed under the name uncultured bacterium. RNAcentral describes it as "partial 16S ribosomal RNA". It matches the Rfam family "Bacterial small subunit ribosomal RNA", at positions 338 to 795 of the family's 1533-position model. The record is from RNAcentral.
CCUACGGGUGGCAGCAGUGAGGAAUAUUGGUCAAUGGGCGCUAGCCUGAACCAGCCAAGUAGCGUGAAGGAUGACUGCCCUAUGGGUUGUAAACUUCUUUUAUAUGGGAAUAAAGUGCAGUAUGUAUACUGCUUUUCAUGUACCUUAUGAAUAAGGAUCGGCUAACUCCGUGCCAGCAGCCGCGGUAAUACGGAGGAUCCGAGCGUUAUCCGGAUUUAUUGGGUUUAAAGGGAGCGUAGGUGGAUUGUUAAGUCAGUUGUGAAAGUUUGCGGCUCAACCGUAAAAUUGCAGUUGAAACUGGCAGUCUUGAGUACAGUAGAGGUGGGCGGAAUUCGUGGUGUAGCGGUGAAAUGCGUAGAUAUCACGAAGAACUCCGAUUGCGAAGGCAGUUCACUGGACUGCAACUGACACUGAGGCUCGAAAGUGUGGGUAUCAAACAGGAUUAGAUACCCUUGUAGUC